RNAcentral lists this ribosomal RNA (458 nucleotides) under uncultured bacterium. Its description in RNAcentral is "partial 16S ribosomal RNA". It matches the Rfam family "Bacterial small subunit ribosomal RNA", at positions 338 to 795 of the family's 1533-position model. The record is from RNAcentral.
CCUACGGGAGGCAGCAGUGAGGAAUAUUGGUCAAUGGCCGGAAGGCUGAACCAGCCAUGCCGCGUGAAGGUCAGUGCCCUAUGGGCGUUAAACUUCUUUUGUGCGGGAGCAAUAAUGGUCACGUGUGGCCAGACGAGAGUACCGUACGAAUAAGCAUCGGCUAACUCCGUGCCAGCAGCCGCGGUAAUACGGGGGAUGCAAGCGUUAUCCGGAUUUAUUGGGUUUAAAGGGUGCGUAGGCGGAUUUUUAAGUCAGCGGUAAAAUGUCCGGGCUCAACCCGGGCCGGCCGUUGAAACUGGGGAUCUUGAGUGGGCGAGAAGUAUGCGGAAUGCGUGGUGUAGCGGUGAAAUGCAUAGAUAUCACGCAGAACUCCGAUUGCGAAGGCAGCAUACCGGCGCCCGACUGACGCUGAGGCACGAAAGCGUGGGGAUCGAACAGGAUUAGAUACCCCAGUAGUC